RNAcentral lists this non-coding RNA (22 nucleotides) under Arabidopsis thaliana (thale cress). The record is from RNAcentral. Lineage: Eukaryota; Viridiplantae; Streptophyta; Magnoliopsida; Brassicales; Brassicaceae.
UGAUUGGGAGGAUGUCGAUCGA